UUUAAUUAUCCACCACCAUCUAUAUUAACAAAUAACCAUAUUCCUAAUAAGAGUAAUGUUUGAAUUUUUCAUAUUUUCAUCUUGAAAGUAUUCCGUAUAAAGAAAAAAGAAUUACAUAUAAGGAAAAAUUAAUAAAUUAUUUGUAAUAAUAAGACCGACCACCAAUUACCUCUCCCCCAAAUUUCUCUCUUCUUUUACCUUGUGUAGAAUCAUAACCGAUUCUUUUUCAUCAUGUGUUGGCACUGUGUAACUCCCCAAUUUAUGCAGUCCUUUAUUCAAAUUCAAAUGGCCAUUUCCCUCUCCUAAUUAAUCUUCUCUUCUCCCCAUUCUCUUCUCAAACUGUUUUCCUGCAAGAGACAACAGAAUUAAUCAUGUGUACACCAUGGACAAUGACCAGGUUUAUUAGAUGGCGACUCAGGGACUGGGUAUCUUGUUUCUUGCCCUGCAAAUUUCCUCUGGGUAUCUAAACAAAACUGGAGCUUCUUUUUAUCUAGCUUAACCUGCCUUUAGAACCAGUUUAAGAAUAAGAAUAAGAGGGCAUUUAAUUUUUCAAAUUUAAAAUCUCUAACGGUCAGAAAAUCUUCAACAUCUCUAUCCUUUAUUAGCAAUUUUCAAUACAUAAUCUUUAGUAUUUUUGUAUGCUUCUUGCAGAUGAUGACCCAGGUAGAGUUUGCACUUCAUCGCCUCAGCCACCUAUCAAGAACAUGGUUUUUGAUAUCAAGAAGGAUGAGAUGAAAGGCAAAAGGGCUAGCAAGAAAUUGUUAUGGCGAAAUAGAUAUAGAAACGAGAAACAAGUUAACCAUGAUGUAACACUGGAUAGAAACACUGUUUCAAUGGAAAAUAAGAGCAAUGAUUCAGGCUGGCCACAUUUUCAAGAUGAGGACUAUAUAGUUUUCUGCUUUAAAGAAGAUGGUGCCUUUGAUGUUGUUAAAGAUGGCAAGCUAGAAGCUUUGGAGCUCUUUGAUUCUGGGAACAGAAGUCCAAGGCCUGUCGUUAGAAAGGUCAGCAAGGAUUUUUCCUUCUUUUUCUUCUCAAUGGGUAUUCAACAAGUUACCUGACCAUAACAAACAAGUGAAAGAAAGAUUGGUUUAUGUCAUUGUCUUUUUGUGUUGAAAUGCAGCUUAAUUAUGGUGAGGUUGCAGAGACAUGCGAGAAGAGCAGCCAUGGGAAAACUUCAAAUGCACAGGGCAUCGGACAAGGGCUCAAUCCUGUUGAAGAGGUACGCAUAGCAGCUCUCCGAUGAUGUAAAUUUGAAAUCAAAAUAGGACACAAGACUAACACCAGUAUCAAUCAUUUUUUGUUAAUGGUAUCAACUGGAAGAAAAUGAAGCAAUUUCAAUGUUUCAGCCUUAGAACAGAAAAAUGGUAUCAUGGUUUUGAAAAUUACAUGACUUGAUAACCUCUUGUUUAGACUAAUUUUCUUCAUUACUCUCCAUAUAAAGAGCUUGAAUUUUUACCAGAUAGACAUUAAACUAUUGAUUACUAGCCAAAUGGCAUGUUGAUACGAACAACAAUGAGCAAUAGUACUAAGAUCCUACCCUCUGAUGUAGGUGACACAGAUUUAAACUUCAUGUACCAAUUAGAAAUACAUUUUUUUUUUCCUUUUUGCUCCUUAUUGGCAGGACGAGGAAGAACAGAACACUUACUUGGACAUAGAGUCACAUUCGGUUGCCAGCGCCAGGGGCCAUAAAUUUGAAGUAAUGGAAAAGCAUGGGAUCAGAAAGCAGUCUGUCGAAUCGAGCGACUCCAAUCAAUCAGAAAGCAGCACAGGGUCUUUUUCUUUUCCUAUGUAAGCUUGAAUCUUGUGAUAAUUCAAGUAGCUACUAACUCCAAAUGGCUUGGCUCUUGUAGUUGAUUGCUAAGCUAAUUUGAUUGAGAAAAAAAAAAUGCAGAUUGCACUGGGAGCUGAUGGGCAGUCCUUCCUAAGUGUCAGAAUCAAUAAUCCCAGCUCCCUCCAACGGCAACUCUCAAGGUCCUUAGAUAUAUUUGCAAUUACGGCCAUUAAAAAAAAUGGUGGCAGGCUCUGCAUAACUUGAUUGUAAUCGCCAAUUGAAAUGCGCGUUUUGCAAUUUUCAUGGUAAGUGUAAUCCUUCCGCCAAAGGCAGCGAAUAAUUCAUGCAGAGAAGAAGAAGGAAAAAAGAGAGGAGGUAAGCGUUGAAACAAAGUAAUACCAAGUGCUAUAUAGAUUAGCGACAUUCGCCUUCCAUGGAAACAAACCAUGUACAAAUAAUAUGAUAAGGGAGAUCUUGAGUGGAUUAGAUACAUAUGAUUAUCAAAAACAAAAUAAACCAACCCAUUAAAUGAGAAAAAAAAAUUUAUAAUAACAGCAGAAGAAAAAGAGGCGAAAGAGGGUUAAAAGUAUUUAGCCUGUUAAUCACAUGCGUGCUGGACCACGGGUACAAAUGCUCCACAAGAAUUAAGAAGCUUGUGAAACCUGGCCAUUGUUAAAAUCCUUACCAGCAUUCAUACUGUUGGAUUUAAAAACAAUAGACUGAAGACGUAGUCUUGCACUAGCUGCGGCAGCAAUAGACUCUUCAUCUUGCUUUUCCUUUGCAGCAGCAACAGCAACAAUGUAAGCUUGUCUUGCUUCUUCCAUUUUUUGCAUCUCCAUGUCAUCAAAAUUAUCCUGUAUAAAUGUGAUUUAGCAGCGAAAAAUUGUACCAAGAAGUGUAAGUAAAUUAAUGAAGCCAUUGAAGCAAACAAGCUUUCUCAAUAAGUUACAUGUCUUAUUAUCAUGUGGAUGGUAAAAUAAUAAAUAAAUAAAUAUAUAAAAAGAACUUCCAUAUUCUUUAAUAAGAUCCUUUUUACUUGGUUAUAACAAACCAUGAACUAAAAAUUCAAGCCACAGCAGUUCUUUUCCUAGGCAAUAACAGCUGGUAACAAAACCAUAGUAUGGUGAUGCCAAGCAUAAAGAGUGGAAAGUGAAUAAUAUAUGUGAACUGAUGUUUUGAUUGUUGCUUGCCUGCUCCCACUAUUAUCCAUAUGACAAGUAUUAAAAAAUGAAGGGGGAAAAAAGCUGGGAAAAAAGAAAGUAAAUGGCCAAAGCAAAAACAGAUUAAACAUGCACAAAAUGGGGUUAUGUGCUUACAAUAUCAGGAAGAUAAUCUAAAUAACGUGGUUUGACAUCAUAAUCUUCAGAAUAUGUUGCGGAAUUAUUAUUUGUCAAGCCUUCAAAUAACGCCAUGAAUGAUGAAAUGUCUCCUUGGAGAGAAUCUAGAUCUUCCUGGAGCUUCUCUGCUUUCCUAUUGGAAGUCAUUGCUUCCCACUGUAUCUUUUCCAGGGCAGCUUGCUUGUCCGCAAGCUUGAUCUGCUCAAAAUUACAGCAGUUAGCCUGUCACUAACAAGAUGAAAUGACUUCCAACAAGAUGGUUUGUUAGGGGAGGGGGGUAUAGAAAGAGACUUCAUUUUAGGCAUAUGGCUUUAUUUCCACCGUUCUAGGAUGACAUAACUCGGUCAAGAUCUGAAUGAUAUAAAUAAUUUCAAGGAUUCAAUAUUCUCCAUGCACGGAAUGUAAUGAAAAGAAAAGGCCAUUUUUUAGAAAACUAUAAUAUAUUAUAUUUUAAAAGAAAAAAAUGAACAUUUAGUUUUAGUUUCAUAACAUUACAAGGUUCUUAAGUUCAAACUGGUGUUCCAUCUAGUUCUGCUUAAAACAAAAAUUGAUCUCAAAGUUUUGCAUCAUAAACAUGAGCCACAUAAACUAUCCAAGUUUUGCAUUCACACCCAUGGAGUUAAAUCUGCAAGAUCUCAAAAUUGACUACAAUCACUAGUAUUAGAGUGCAAUCACAUCAUAUAAUAUCAUCAAAUCUACAAUUAUUGUUAUGUGUCAUUACAGUUUAUUAAUAAGCAAGAAAUAUCAUUCAUGGUAACAAAUGACCAUGGGUUCAUCAUGCUUAUAAAUGAGACCAGCAAAGCGAUAGAUAUUAUCUACCUUUGCAUCAGAAAGUUGUAGUUGAGUAGACUUAAUUAUGGAAUCCUUCUCUGCGGCCUCGUGUUUCAGUUCAUCAAGUGUUGUAUAAACAACAUUCAUCUGGUUCUUUGAAAUUUCAGCUGAUUUCAGAAGUUCAUCUUUCUCCAAUAAUUUCCUUUGCAGAUCCUCAACUUGUUCCCUCAAUGCGACUAGCUCUUCUAUGUCCUUUUCUGUAGCCAAAGCCCUCGAGGAAAAGAUUGAGAAGCUAUCAACAUCUUGAUUAUUACCUGCAUUCUUACCUUGGUCCUUGUCUCCAUGUUCUUUUUUCUUUUUUGCUGGUAUAGAUUGAGUUGUAUACCUCUCUUUUGGAUCAUUUAUCUUUUUAUAUAAAGACUCUCUGGAAGGCGUCUUCGUGUAGAUCAUCGAACCUCGCCGUGUAAAUGAACUGUUGGCUUUCCGAUGGAUGAGGGACUCGACGAGAGGGACCAUCUCAACGAGAUUGUCGUAGAGGACGCGAUCGACAUUGCCGGCUGCCCCAGUGGUGGAAGCAGAGGUGGAAGUGAGGGCGGAGAGUUGGGACUGAACUCGUCGGAGAGUCGGGGAAGAGUUGUCGUCGCCGGAGAGCCAUGAUUUGGGGUCCCCAAACUUGGAAUUUUCUUGCAAAUCUACGAAAUGCUGAGGAUCAUACAUCGUUUCGGAAUUUGAAUCUUUAACUAUCUAUGACUAUGAGUAGAUUAAACGAGUGCAAAGUGCUCGUGUACGUGAUAGAGAGAGAUAGACCUGCAGAGGAACGAUU
Molecule: unclassified non-coding RNA, 4702 nt
Filed under: Hevea brasiliensis (rubber tree)
Lineage: Eukaryota; Viridiplantae; Streptophyta; Magnoliopsida; Malpighiales; Euphorbiaceae
Source: RNAcentral